CCUUAAAACCCUAAUUAGUUUCAAUCAAACAUAUUAGAACGUACAAUAUUCAAUCCCAAGAAAACCAUUGUAGAAAACCCCCCUUAUACCCAAAGCAGGGUUUUAGCUUCUUCCCCUCAGCAGCCAGCCAAGAAGUAAGAGUUAGUUCUCUCUUGUUCAUAUUCCGAAACCAAGAAGAACAACCUUCAGAAUCUAUCAUUUCUUCUCGUAAUCAAUGGCCUCAAUUGGUGCUCGGUCUGCUUUCCGGUCAUUCUCUGGUUCGGCACGCCGUGCUGCUGCUCACAUCGGUUCUCAACCCAAGCCCUCAUCAACCUCUCCCUUUCGCAUGGCAACUAACAAACCCCUCUCUCAUCCUACUUUCAGGUGUGCGCCUGUGAUGAGCUUCUGUUUGGAGUCAAUGAUGCCAUUUCACUCUGUGUCGUCCUCAGCUUUAAUGACUUCCAUGCUCUCUAUCUCGCGCCAUAGCUGCGGUUGGCUCCCCGAAGGUAGCUAGCACACUUUAUAGGCCAUUGAUGCUUCUUGCCUUCUUGUUGCUCUGGGCGGUGAUGUUUUCUAGCAUGAAGGUUUGCAACUAUGUUGAAUUUGCCAGUGUCAUUGCUUAUCUGUACCUCAAAUUCAGAUUCUUCAUUAGAAAUAUCCUAGUUUUGCCUAGAUUAUCUGAAACUCUAUUUCGUGGCUUUCAAUUGGAUUAUUGAUAUAAUAACCAAAAUCAGAAUCUAGAUGUGAGAACGUCUAGUUAGUGAUUUGCUAAGUUUAAACCAUGAGAAAAAAAUAUUGUUUAUUUGGUUUUUUUGCUCAACCAUGUUCUAAUUUUGUAAUGUAGGAAGUUUAAUGCUGAAAUUGGCCUUCACGAACAUUGAACGAACUAAAGAAAUUGCUCGACAAUUUUAUUGAAA
RNA transcript from Cucumis melo (muskmelon), 896 nucleotides. It is a transcript of the gene named protein NUCLEAR FUSION DEFECTIVE 6, mitochondrial-like, with no coding region annotated. The transcript has 4 exons. The record is from RefSeq and is a predicted model, not a curated record. NCBI's taxonomy places the organism in Eukaryota, Viridiplantae, Streptophyta, Magnoliopsida, Cucurbitales, Cucurbitaceae.